ACGUAGGUGACAAGCGUUGUCCGGAUUUACUGGGCGUAAAGCGCGCGCAGGCGGUCGUUCAAGUCGAGUGUGAAAGCCCCCGGCUCAACUGGGGAGGGUCACUCGAUACUGAUCGACUGGAAGGCAGGAGAGGGAAGUGGAAUUCCCGGUGUAGUGGUGAAAUGCGUAGAUAUCGGGAGGAACACCAGUGGCGAAGGCGACUUCCUGGCCUGUUCUUGACGCUGAGGCGCGAAAGCUAGGGGAGCAAACGGGAUUAGAUACCCCGGUAGUCCUAGCCGUAAACGAUGGACACUAGGUGUUGGUGGUAUCAACCCCGCCAGUGCCGAAGCUAACGCAUUAAGUGUCCCGCCUGGGGAGUACGGCCGCAAGGCUA
This 373-nucleotide ribosomal RNA is filed under the name uncultured bacterium. Its description in RNAcentral is "bacterial SSU rRNA". It matches the Rfam family "Bacterial small subunit ribosomal RNA", at positions 525 to 896 of the family's 1533-position model. The record is from RNAcentral.